This 72-nucleotide transfer RNA is filed under the name Cavia porcellus (domestic guinea pig). It matches the Rfam family "tRNA". Rfam says of the family: Transfer RNA (tRNA) molecules are approximately 80 nucleotides in length. Their secondary structure includes four short double-helical elements and three loops (D, anti-codon, and T loops). Lineage: Eukaryota; Metazoa; Chordata; Mammalia; Rodentia; Caviidae. The record is from Rfam by way of RNAcentral.
GGGGAUUUAGCUCAGUGGUACAGCACCUGCCUGACAAGCAUGAGGUCCUGAGUUCAAUUCCUGGUAUCUGCC